Struthio camelus australis is the source of this 829-nucleotide non-coding RNA. NCBI's taxonomy places the organism in Eukaryota, Metazoa, Chordata, Aves, Struthioniformes, Struthionidae. The record is from RefSeq and is a predicted model, not a curated record.
GUUUUCUCAAAUCGGUAAUGAUAAUCAAUAUAUAUCAGAAAUGUGUGUAGUCAGUAGCAGACACAGCUUUGUUCAAGGCUAAAACCUGUGGCAGGCAAGAACUAGUUUUAUUAAAGCAGAGCAGGCAGCCAUAUCUUACUGUGUGGGAGCUCAUCCAUGCACAUCUGGGGCUCUUCAAGAAAACUGGAAUUUUUCUUCUCGCCACAGCCUGGAGUGGUCAAGUCUCUUCAACAGCUAACUUCUGGAAGACUGAUAUGUGCCAAAGUGUUUCACAGAUAACCUGAGUGAUAAUGAAAUGCUGGGUCCGAGUGAGUAAUGUAAGCAGUAACAUUGGUGAUUCGUAUUCUGUCAGAAUUAUUGCCCUAGGGAUGGCAUUCACGCCAAGAAACUUCUCAUUCUUCACAUACAACUAGCACAACUGUGGUGACACACAAUGCGGGGGACUGGAUGAGUGUAAAGGAGUGGAUGUGUCGCAGGUGUAAUGCGUUUGUACUACUUCAAGAACAACCUUCUGCAAGACCCAUGGUUGUAUUAGGUAAAUAUAUGAUACUUUCCUCCUGCAAAACCUAGCUGAGUUCCUAACAAAGUUUGUUUUCUUGCUGACCAAGAAGAACUUGCCUGUGCCUAUUUAUGUUUGUAUUCAGUUGUUAUGGGAAGAUGGGAUUAAAGAAGUGGGUUUACAUUUUGCUCUGAGGGCAGAAAAACCCAAAUCUCACAGUGUAUCUGAAAUUUGUAUUGUACCCUAUAACAUGCUGUAUGCAGCACGUGCUGCUGGUAAAACUGUGGUACUGAUUGUAUGGAUGUCGGAAACUUAUUCUCAUUAUAAAAU